RNAcentral lists this long non-coding RNA (1299 nucleotides) under Equus caballus (horse). Its description in RNAcentral is "lncRNA (ENSECAG00000045961.1)". Lineage: Eukaryota; Metazoa; Chordata; Mammalia; Perissodactyla; Equidae. The record is from RNAcentral.
GUAGGUUUUCUGUCGUCCUUGCUCUGAUCUGUGUGCUAAGACCUGCACCGGGGCCUCCUUCACACACAGUGGACCAAUGGCAAGCCCUGAGAUGGUCAUUGGGUCCGUGCCGUCUGCCCAGGCCUUCGCCGGGGUGGUUGGGUUCAGGCUCUUUGUCACCAAUGGCCUCUCUUCCUGGGACCCACACAGUGAGAGCCCCCGAGGUGUGCCCUGCAGGCACCAGGCCGCUGCCAUUUUUGUGAAGGAAACCCGUGGCCUAGUUGGUGUUUGCCCGUUAUCCAGAGCCACCCCAAGCUGCCUCACUCUGCUGGGUCACUCCCUGAAUCCUCGGCGACCCCCACCCUCCUCCCCCCUGGGAAGGAAAAGCCCCUGCCCGGCCCAGCCGCCGGAUUGGUGUUGAGGUCCUGGGCCUGGACCUCUUGAGUCCUCUCAAAGACAGCCCAGAACCCGCAUCCCCUCUGCGGAGCCCCUGGGAGCACAGCCUGUGGGGACGUGACCCCCAGGGGCAGCGAGGCUGGAGCAGCUCUGGCCUUGCAUAGGCUUCCUCUGGCAGCCGGGGACACAGCUGCUGGGCCUCCUGACUCAGUCCCUGGGCCGCCUCCCUCUUGAACUUCUGUCCCUAAGGGCUCGGUUCACAGCUGUUCAGAGGGUGACCUUGAACAUCCCUUGGCGAUCUGGGCAUCUCCACUUAUUGCUCAUAAACUCAGCUGACCUCCUUAUGGCGGACUGUGGGAAGUCUCAGUUUCUGCUCUCGAGAAACGGAAACGACACCCCCUAGGAGGAGCUGGGCUGGAGCCUGGAAAAGCACAGGGAGCCACUCCCAGGUAUGCACCCUGGAGAAAUGAAAACACGUGUCUGCACAAAGACCUGUACUGAGCAUUCAUAGCAGCUUUAUUUGUAAUAACUAAAAAAGUGGAAACAACUCAAAUGUCCACCAACUGAUGAACGGAUAAAUAGAUGUGAUAUAUCCACACAAUGGAAUAUUAUUCAGCCAUAAAAAGGAAUGAAGUACAGAUUCGUGCUACAACGUGAAUGAAGCUGGAAAACAUUAUGCCAAGCGAAAGAAGCCCAACACAAAAGGCCCCAGAUUGUAUGACUCCGUUUGUAUGAAGUGUCCAGAAUAGGCGAAUCUGUAGAGACAGAGAGUGGACCAGUGGUUGCCUAGGGCCGGGGGAGGGGGAGUGAGGAGUGACCACUAACGGAUAUGGGGUUUCUUUCUGGGUGUUGAGAACAUUCUGGAAUUGGAUAAUGGUGAUGCUUGUACAACUUUGUGGAUAUACUAAAAAGCACUUUAAAUGG